This 753-nucleotide long non-coding RNA is filed under the name Olea europaea (common olive). RNAcentral describes it as "long non-coding RNA (OEUR_LNC007965)". The record is from RNAcentral. Lineage: Eukaryota; Viridiplantae; Streptophyta; Magnoliopsida; Lamiales; Oleaceae.
AUGAAAGAAAGUUUCUCCAUAAGGUAGGAACCCAGAUGGCGGCUUCUCGUUGGACGAAGUUGAUUCUAAAUAAAGCAAAUUUCCAGUAUCAGCAAGUGAAUCACCAAAACUGAUUAUGGAUUUGUAGCAUCCACAUGCAUAUUUGCUUGCUGAUAAUAGAAAGAGGACUGCACAUGCAAAUGCAUUUUUUAAUGGCGAAAUAUUUGAAGCCAUGGCUGAGACAAAAAGCAGACUUUCUUAAUAAUUAUGGGCCUGUGGGAAUAUAUAUAAUGGACUGAGUAAAAGGAAAGCUGGGUAGGUUGGAGAUGGAUUGAGAUCAGUGGUUUUGAUUUUUAUUUUUUUAACAUAACUAAAUCAAUAUUCCAUGGACUCCAAAAAGCAGAGACAAGCAACCUAUAAAAUAUAUUUUUCAAUGUUAGAGAUUUAACUCUCAGGACAGAGUAUAUAUAGAAAAAUAAAUUUCGAGUCACGCAAAUCAAAAAUAAAGCAAAUUUCCAGUAUCAGCAAGUGAAUCACCAAAACUGAUUAUGGAUUUGUAGCAUCCACAUGCAUAGUUGCUUGCUGAUAAUAGAAAGAGGACUGCACAUGAAAAUGCAGUUUUUAAUGGUGAAAUAUUUGAAGCCAUGGCCGAGACGCUUAGGAUUUAUGUGGUUGUGGGGAUAUAUAUAACUGAGUAAAAUGAAAGAUGAGUAGGUUGGAGGUGGAUUGAGAUAAGUGGUCCUAUGUUUUUUCCUUUUCUUUCUUUCUUUCUUU